Molecule: ribosomal RNA, 602 nt
Filed under: uncultured bacterium
Lineage: Bacteria
Description: bacterial SSU rRNA
Rfam family: Bacterial small subunit ribosomal RNA (bases 1-530)
Source: RNAcentral
CCUACGGGAGGCAGCAGUAAGGAAUAUUGGUCAAUGGACGGAAGUCUGAACCAGCCAUGCCGCGUGCAGGAAGACGGCCCUAUGGGUUGUAAACUGCUUUUGCAGGGGAAUAAACCUCAUUACGUGUAAUGAGCUGAAUGUACUCUGAGAAUAAGGAUCGGCUAACUCCGUGCCAGCAGCCGCGGUAAUACGGAGGAUCCAAGCGUUAUCCGGAUUUAUUGGGUUUAAAGGGUGCGUAGGUGGCCUGUUAAGUCAGGGGUGAAAGACGGUAGCUUAACUAUCGCAAUGCCCUUGAUACUGAUGGGCUUGAAUAAACUAGAGGUAGGCGGAACGUGACAAGUAGCGGUGAAAUGCAUAGAUAUGUCACAGAACACCAAUUGCGAAGGCAGCUUACUAUGGUUUUAUUGACACUGAGGCACGAAAGCGUGGGGAUCAAACAGGAUUAGAUACCCUGGUAGUCCACGCCCUAACGAUGAAUACUCGAUGUUGGCGAUAUACGGUCNGCGUCUAGACGAAGAGUAGUAGUCACGNGGAGACGCCGCGAGGUUAGACGUACAGUUAGAGUUGNGGCGNGAGAGNGCGAGCGACGACGAGGGAGGAGG